This 254-nucleotide ribosomal RNA is filed under the name uncultured prokaryote. RNAcentral describes it as "partial 16S ribosomal RNA". It matches the Rfam family "Bacterial small subunit ribosomal RNA", at positions 524 to 776 of the family's 1533-position model. The record is from RNAcentral.
UACAGAGGUCCCAAGCGUUGUUCGGAUUUACUGGGCGUAAAGGGCGCGUAGGCGGUCAGCACAAGUCAGUUGUGAAAUCUCCGGGCUUAACUCGGAAAGGUCAACUGACACUGCAGGGCUAGAGUGCGGAAGGGGCAACUGGAAUUCUCGGUGUAGCAGUGAAAUGCGUAGAGAUCGUAAGGAAGACCAGUGGCGAAGGCGGGUCUCUGGACAGUUCCUGACACUGAGGCACGAGGGCCAGGGGAGCAAACGGG